This 280-nucleotide long non-coding RNA is filed under the name Setaria viridis. RNAcentral's name for it is "long non-coding RNA (SVIR_LNC010664)". Lineage: Eukaryota; Viridiplantae; Streptophyta; Magnoliopsida; Poales; Poaceae. The record is from RNAcentral.
AGCAAUUUUAGUGAAUUUGAAUUCUUUAAAAAUUUGGGUGUUACAUAAGCUGGACUAAGCAACUGCAAGAUCAAGUUAUUAUACUCACACUACUCAAGUGAUGUGGUGUAUGAUAACCAAGCAAAGGAUCCAUAACAAUAAAAACCUAGGUUCUGAUAAUGCAAUAAGGUGACCGCAUGCAACCCAUUGUGAAACCUAGUAACAAUUUCAUCUUAAACAGUUGGACACAAACAUGCUUAUUGGAUUGCCUUGUUUUUCUUUGGCUCAAACUUGACUUCCU